This 271-nucleotide unclassified non-coding RNA is filed under the name Peniophora albobadia. Its description in RNAcentral is "partial internal transcribed spacer region". The stretch from base 1 to 46 matches the Rfam family "Eukaryotic small subunit ribosomal RNA", at positions 1786 to 1831 of the family's 1831-position model. Lineage: Eukaryota; Fungi; Basidiomycota; Agaricomycetes; Russulales; Peniophoraceae. The record is from RNAcentral.
AAGUCGUAACAAGGUUUCCGUAGGUGAACCUGCGGAAGGAUCAUUAGCGAAGUUCGGAAUGCAUGUUCGAUGUUGAUGCUGCCCAGCAAUGGGAUGUGCUCGCUCGGAUGUGUGUCCCUUCUCUAUCCACCCCAUUGUGAACCAAGUGUGUGAGCCGAAGAGAAAUCGGACGCUCGCAUGCAAACCUUUAACAUACCCCAAUAAAGUAUCAGAAUGUACCUUGCGUUAACUCGCACAAAUAUAACUUUCAACAACGGAUCUCUUGGCUCUC